GACGAAGGGGGCUAGCGUUGUUCGGAAUUACUGGGCGUAAAGCGCGUGUAGGUGGUUGUUCAAGUCAGGUGUGAAAGCCUUGAGCUCAACUCAAGAAAUGCACUUGAUACUGGAUGACUAGAGGACCGGAGAGGAUAGUGGAAUUCCCAGUGUAGUGGUGAAAUACGUAGAGAUUGGGAGGAACACCAGUGGCGAAGGCGGCUAUCUGGACGGUUUCUGACGCUAAGACGCGAAAGCGUGGGGAGCAAACAGG
Molecule: ribosomal RNA, 253 nt
Filed under: uncultured bacterium
Lineage: Bacteria
Description: partial 16S ribosomal RNA
Rfam family: Bacterial small subunit ribosomal RNA
Source: RNAcentral